Molecule: ribosomal RNA, 315 nt
Filed under: Bacillus subtilis subsp. subtilis
Lineage: Bacteria; Bacillati; Bacillota; Bacilli; Caryophanales; Bacillaceae
Description: bacterial SSU rRNA
Rfam family: Bacterial small subunit ribosomal RNA
Source: RNAcentral
GCCUAAUACAUGCAAGUCGAGCGGACAGAUGGGAGCUUGCUCCCUGAUGUUAGCGGCGGACGGGUGAGUAACACGUGGGUAACCUGCCUGUAAGACUGGGAUAACUCCGGGAAACCGGGGCUAAUACCGGAUGGUUGUUUGAACCGCAUGGUUCAAACAUAAAAGGUGGCUUCGGCUACCACUUACAGAUGGACCCGCGGCGCAUUAGCUAGUUGGUGAGGUAACGGCUCACCAAGGCAACGAUGCGUAGCCGACCUGAGAGGGUGAUCGGCCACACUGGGACUGAGACACGGCCCAGACUCCUACGGGAGGCAG